AACAGGGGCCUAAUGCUCGUACUCGAUAUCGAGUUGUUUCGAUAGAUAAUUUGAAUUUUUGGAUUACCGUAUCCGUGAUCGAAUAAAAUUUAUCGAUAUGUCGAAUAAAACUAUUCGAGUUUUUGCCCGCCACAUUCUACCUGUCGAGACCAAAACAAAACAGAAGAAAAACGAAAUGAGCACGAAUUGCAACAAAAUAAAUUUUAAGCAAAAGGCAAUUAUGGCAGAUUUUAUGUCUGACCACCCGGGACUUGCCAAAGGAAAAAUUUCGAAUUGUCCAGAAGGUUGAGCGUCAUCCAAUCGUUUGUGGGAGCAGUUGACAACCAAAUUAAAUGGAGCAGGACCACCCGUAAAGAAUGUCACCUUGUGGCGAAAGGUUUAUGCAGACCAAAAACAACAUGUUAAGAAGAAAUUAUCCUUUAACAAGGCAUCAAAGAAUCAGACAGGUGGAGGCCCAUAUGAAGAAAAACUCAUCACCCAAUCAGAAGAGUUUAUACUGGAAGCAGCACUACGUUCUCGAAUUUGUCUUCUUAUUAUAUUUAUAUUAUUACCGUCCUCAUCUUCCGAAGAGGAUAAUACAAAAAAACACGUAUCCAUAAUUUUUUUCAACUUUUAAUGAAGCGGCAAACAAUUGUUUUGUUUACUUUUUGGAUGAAAACAUAUGUUUCGAUUGUCGGUAUUUCGAUUAUUUUUUGACAAUAAUCGAUAAAUUUUUGAAUAAUUCCAUUCGAGUCGUAUCAUUCAAUUAGUAACUACGGAUCGUAAUUUAACUUCGAACAAAAUCUCACUCUAUAUCGAGUACGAGCAUUAGGC
Long non-coding RNA from Musca domestica (house fly), 813 nucleotides. RefSeq lists it as uncharacterized. NCBI's taxonomy places the organism in Eukaryota, Metazoa, Arthropoda, Insecta, Diptera, Muscidae. The transcript has 3 exons. The record is from RefSeq and is a predicted model, not a curated record.